This 272-nucleotide ribosomal RNA is filed under the name uncultured soil bacterium. RNAcentral's name for it is "partial 16S ribosomal RNA". It matches the Rfam family "Bacterial small subunit ribosomal RNA", at positions 26 to 311 of the family's 1533-position model. The record is from RNAcentral.
AGAUUGAACGCUGGCGGCAUGCCUAACACAUGCAAGUCGAACGGGAGUAGCAAUACUCUAGUGGCGGACGGGUGAGGAAUACGUAGGAAUUUGCCCUUAAGUGGGGGAUAACCCGGGAAACCCGGAUUAAUACCGCAUGACCUCGAAAGAGCAAAGUGGGGGAUCGCAAGACCUCACGCUUUUGGAGAAGCCUACGUCGGAUUAGCUAGUUGGUGAGGUAAUGGCUCACCAAGGCGACGAUCCGUAACUGGUCUGAGAGGAUGAUCAGUCAC